RNAcentral lists this long non-coding RNA (461 nucleotides) under Homo sapiens (human). RNAcentral describes it as "HSALNT0291643". Lineage: Eukaryota; Metazoa; Chordata; Mammalia; Primates; Hominidae. The record is from RNAcentral.
UGCGGCUGGGGCAGAAAUCCGUCUCUGUGAGCGGAGGAGGGUGUGCUUAUGCGAGAGCAGGUUUUGGGAGCUCACUAAAGCAGGUCCCUGAUUCUGGUCUUGAAUAGCGGAGGAGGAAAAGAAGAUGAUGGGGGAAAAGAAAAGAAGCCAUUUAUGCAUCCCUCCCUAAUUCAGUAUCCGAGCAUGAGGGAGUGUCAAGCUAGUGGGGAAGAAGAGAGGGUUUAGUUUUGAAUGAAGUUGGGAGUUUUUAUUAUUGCACUGAACUAAAUAGGCAUUUUACUAAAGUCAAGACUGUUCUUGUUAUUUAAAGGAACGGGAUCAUCAAUGGAACUCUUUGAGAUUUCAUCCAGAGGCUGGGAAAGAACAUUCAUGGCUACAUGGUCCAUCUGCAAGUUUUUUCAAAUUGUCACAAAUCUCCAAAAAAUGUUUCAAUAUAUUUAUUGAAAAAAGUCUAUAUAGAA